Molecule: ribosomal RNA, 497 nt
Filed under: uncultured bacterium
Lineage: Bacteria
Description: bacterial SSU rRNA
Rfam family: Bacterial small subunit ribosomal RNA
Source: RNAcentral
UCAGGAUGAACGCUAGCGGCAGGCUAACACAUGCAAGUCGAGGGCAACGCGAGUAGCAAUACUUGGCGGCGACCGGCGCAAGGGUGCGUAACGCGUGAGCAACAUGCCCGUAUCAGGGGGAUAAUCCAGGGAAACUUGGUCUAAUACCCCAUAGUAAUUUUGUAAGGCAUCUUAUAAGAUUUAAAGCUUUGGUGGAUACGGAUUGGCUCGCGUGACAUUAGCUGGAUGGUAAGGUAACGGCUUACCAUGGCUAUGAUGUCUAGGGGUUCUGAGAGGAAGGUCCCCCACACUGGAACUGAGACACGGUCCAGACUCCUACGGGAGGCAGCAGUGAGGAAUAUUGGACAAUGGAUGGAAAUCUGAUCCAGCCAUGCCGCGUGAAGGAAGAAGGUCCUAUGGAUUGUAAACUUCUUUUGUAUGGGAGCAAUAAGGCCUACGAGUAGGUUGAUGAGAGUACCAUACGAAUAAGCACCGGCUAACUCCGUGCCAGCCGCAGC